AACGCACAUUGCGCCCGCCGGUAUUCCGGCGGGCAUGCCUGUUCGAGCGUCAUUUCACCACUCAAGCCCAGCUUGGUGUUGGAGCACCCGGCCGCCUGGCGAUCGGGGCCCCCAAGUACAUCGGCGGUCUCGCUAGGACCCUGAGCGCAGUAACUCGCGGUAAAACGCGCCUCGCUCGGAAGUUCCCAGCGGGCUUCCAGCCGCUAAACCCCCUAAUUUUCUUAGGUUGACCUCGGAUCAGGUAGGAAUACCCGCUGAACUUAA
Molecule: unclassified non-coding RNA, 264 nt
Filed under: uncultured Magnaporthaceae
Lineage: Eukaryota; Fungi; Ascomycota; Sordariomycetes; Magnaporthales; Magnaporthaceae
Description: sequence contains ITS2
Rfam family: 5.8S ribosomal RNA (bases 1-52)
Source: RNAcentral